GUGAGUAACACGUGGGUGAUCUGCCCUGCACUUCGGGAUAAGCCUGGGAAACUGGGUCUAAUACCGGAUAUGACCUCCUAUCGCAUGGUGGGUGGUGGAAAGAUUUAUCGGUGCAGGAUGGGCCCGCGGCCUAUCAGCUUGUUGGUGGGGUAAUGGCCUACCAAGGCGACGACGGGUAGCCGACCUGAGAGGGUGACCGGCCACACUGGGACUGAGACACGGCCCAGACUCCUACGGGAGGCAGCAGUGGGGAAUAUUGCACAAUGGGCGAAAGCCUGAUGCAGCGACGCCGCGUGAGGGAUGACGGCCUUCGGGUUGUAAACCUCUUUCAGCAGGGACGAAGCGCAAGUGACGGUACCUGCAGAAGAAGCACCGGCUAACUACGUGCCAGCAGCCGCGGUAAUACGUAGGGUGCAAGCGUUGUCCGGAAUUACUGGGCGUAAAGAGUUCGUAGGCGGUUUGUCGCGUCGUUUGUGAAAACCAGCAGCUCAACUGCUGGCUUGCAGGCGAUACGGGCAGACUUGAGUACUGCAGGGGAGACUGGAAUUCCUGGUGUAGCGGUGAAAUGCGCAGAUAUCAGGAGGAACACCGGUGGCGAAGGCGGGUCUCUGGGCAGUAACUGACGCUGAGGAACGAAAGCGUGGGUAGCGAACAGGAUUAGAUACCCUGGUAGUCCACGCCGUAAACGGUGGGCGCUAGGUGUGGGUUCCUUCCACGGAAUCCGUGCCGUAGCUAACGCA
RNAcentral lists this ribosomal RNA (740 nucleotides) under Rhodococcus sp. (in: high G+C Gram-positive bacteria). Its description in RNAcentral is "bacterial SSU rRNA". It matches the Rfam family "Bacterial small subunit ribosomal RNA", at positions 106 to 859 of the family's 1533-position model. Lineage: Bacteria; Bacillati; Actinomycetota; Actinomycetes; Mycobacteriales; Nocardiaceae. The record is from RNAcentral.